Molecule: long non-coding RNA, 1073 nt
Organism: Prunus avium (sweet cherry)
Lineage: Eukaryota; Viridiplantae; Streptophyta; Magnoliopsida; Rosales; Rosaceae
Source: RefSeq, a predicted model, not a curated record
UGUAAAGAAGAAAACCCUAAGUACUAUGCGGUUCUAUUUUUCUCUCCUCCCUUUUCCUUUGUCCCACCCAACCUUUUCUUUUUCUCAAGAUCAGUGUCGCACAACUCAUCUCUCUGCUCUCAAUCUCUCGCUCAAUUCUUCUAUGCUCUCGCUUAAUCAUCUUUCCACUCUCACUCUUUCAGCCACUCUAAGCAGAUUGCAAAACCCACAAAUCAGCAUCAACGAGAGCACAAACCCUCUGACUUUCGUCCCCUCUACCAAACGCCAGCUUCAUCUCGACCACUUGGACCCCCAUAAACAUCUGUAUCCAUAACCAUUUCACAACCAUCUGCAAAAUCACAAAAAAGACCCGAGACCCGCUUCGAUCGACAACCUUAGCUUCACCAUCGCCCGUGGUGGAACCCAUGAAAUAUGGUGUGGGUGACCGACCCGUCUGCAAACAGAGGAGAUGAGAUGAAGGAUAUGGUGUUGGAGAAUCUUUCUUGCUUUGGUUGAGCGGCAUCUCUGGAAUCGAGUUCUUCCUAUGUUAACUACAAACUGAGAUUUUCAGUUUGUUAAUUUUCAUUUGGACAAAGCAUAUGUAGAAAAAGGUCUGUCUAUUUGACAUGAAGCCACUGAGUAAAACAGGGUUUGCCCUUUCUUUUUAUCUAUUUGAUAAUACUUUGUACUAACUCUAAGCUAUAUAAGUGACACAGAACUGCAGAUUUGCAGAGCAGCAAUAUAAAAGUUCAGAUGAUCAAUUGGAGUUUAUUUAUGCAUGUAAUAAUACUUAAAAGAAAAUAUGUAUCACUACUUGUUAUCUGAAGGCAGCUUUUGGUUUUGACAAGAAUCAAUCUCAGAGAUCCUGAUGAUGGUGGGAAUAUGUUCAAUUUUCUCCCAGAUUAAUGCGAUCACUGAGGGUCAUAAAGGCAGACAGAGGCUCAUCAAGGAGGCUUCGAAUCCGUUGACACUGAAUACAUUUUGUUUUAGAUAUAAGUUUUUGGCAUAUUCAGUUAUUGUAUAAUCUAUAUUAUAUUCUGGUUGCAACGAAUAUUUUUAAUGUGUUUUCAAUAUUAUUUGUUUUUAAUGUGUAA